This 297-nucleotide unclassified non-coding RNA is filed under the name fungal sp. RNAcentral's name for it is "partial internal transcribed spacer region". The record is from RNAcentral. Lineage: Eukaryota; Fungi.
AAGUCGUGAACCUGCGGAAGGAUCAUUAACACGUAUCCAACGUUAAACCCCCCUGUGAACCUUCAGUGCGCUCGCACUUUCUUAGAAAAGGUAGCAAUCCCUGGUAAAUCAUUGCCGAACAGUUUUGAUUCAAGGACUUCUGCGUAGACUGUGCUUGAGCGUGAGGCAAGUGGCCUGGCAUUCCUCUGCUUGUUGGUGCGCGAGCCCCCCUCGUCACCUUUGCAUGAAAACGGGCCUGCGCUUAAUUGUGCGGCCACCAAACUCGAACAACUGUUAACAAUGGAUAUCUUGGUUCUC